Molecule: non-coding RNA, 9653 nt
Organism: Podarcis lilfordi (Lilford's wall lizard)
Lineage: Eukaryota; Metazoa; Chordata; Lepidosauria; Squamata; Lacertidae
Source: the annotation of a GenBank genome assembly
AAACCGCGCGGCGAGGCCGCCGACGCCGCUACCCGCCGCUGCUGCUGCUGCAGCCUCCCAACGCGAGCCAAGCCUCGCUGUUCAGCCUCUCGGAGGCCGGGCGUGGGUGUGAAGGAGGAGGUGGGGUGCUUGGGUGUUGUUUCCCUGCCUCACCCGCCGCGGGCGUCGCCGGAUAAAAAGGCCUUAUGUGAAAAGAGACGCGCUUGAGGCAGUCUAUCUAAGGAGCGUCGCGCGCAUCCAGCUUCCUGAGGGGGUUGCUGCAUUAGUUCAGCGUCGCAAGUGGAGCCAGGGCCGGCAAGGUGAGGCGACUGCCUCAGGUAGCGGGAUCCACCCGAGCAGCAGAUCCCCAUGUCGAUCUGUCUCUCUCCACUACCACCCUGCCUUGUUUCUGAUGUAGAUAUUCCCGUACUCCAGAGCAUGUGCGUAACUGGGGGGGGUCAACUGCCCCCCCAAAGCAAUACAAAUCUGAGGUUCUGACCCCCAUAAAAAAGCCUCCCCCCCAAAAAAUCCUGGCUGCACCCAUGGGCUCCACCGGGUAGCACAACCGGUUUGGCUGUACUGGGUGCCAGAGAGGAUCUACAACAAUGAUGUAGAGCAGAGCGCCAGAGGUGGGUGGGUGGGUGCCAAAUUUUAGUGCCACACAGGGUGCUGUUGAAAUUUGAGAGCCCAAAGUUUGCUACUGCUCAGUCUUCCUGGGUGGGGAGAAGAGCGCCAUUUCGAGGUCUGCCUCAGGUGCCAAAAUGUCUUGGGCCGACCCUGAGCGGAGCAAGGGCACUUGUGGCAACCGCAAAGCAGUGGCGGGUCUUGAUGUGUUAGAUUUCAGUGGCACCCUAUGCCUCUCAUGCUCCAUUGUAAAUCAUAGCCCACAAGGCUUUGCACCAAGUGCAACCAAACCGGUCACAGCCCCCUAAAUUUGCCUCUGCAUGAAGACUUAACAGAUUUCUUACACCAUAUGUUUUGGUGGUGUAGUGGUUAGAGUGUCGCACUAGGACCUGGGAGAACUUGGCCUUAUAUCACCACUCGGCUUUGAAGCUCACUGGGUGACGUUGGGCCAACCAUUGCUUUCCAGCCUCACCUACCUCAUAGGGUUGUUGUGGGAAUUACGUGAUCAUUCGGGAGAACCAUGUACGUGAGCUGCCUGGAGAAAAGGGCAGGAUAUAAAUGCAAUAAAUAAAUAAGUCUUCAAGUGCAUGAAAUGUUAUCCUGAGCUACAGGAACAUAUACAGGGGUGCAGAAAUUGUACAUUCAGAUACAUAUAUGCCUUCAUAUUACUUUCAAAUACAGUGGACGCUUGGGUUGCGAAUGUGAUCCAUGUGGGAUGCACGUUUGCAACCCACAGCGUUUGCAACCCGUGUCUGCGCACGCGCGGGUUGCGAUUUGGCGUUUCUGCGCAUGCGCUACCGCCGAAACCCGGAAGUAACCCGUUCUGGUACUUCUGGGUUUUGGCGGUCCGUAACCUAAAAAGACGCAACCUGAAGCGUCUGUAACCCGAGGUAUGACUGUAUAGACUUACACCAUGGCUUAUUCAGAAGUAAGUCCUAUGGAACUCAAUGGCACUAACUCCCAGAUAAGUAGGGUUAGGGUUGCGGCCCAAGAAAUUCAAUAGGACUAAAAUCAGUCAUGAUGUAAAUUUGUUACAACUAACUUUAAUCCCAUUUAAGAUCUGGGUUACAAGCCAGUCUUUAUUUAGGGCAGAGCCGUUGCUGCUUCAUCCCAGAAUCCUUGCUGUGUAAAAUGAAAAAUUGAUGACCAAUUUAAAUCCCAUCUAAUUCAAUGUAAGCUUCUAUAACAUGAGAGAAAUGUGCCAGAGGCUGUACAAAGAUGGUGGGUUGGUGUUUGUCCUCUGUGGUCUUUUGUUAGUGUCAUUAAUCUGCACGGCACUGUACAAGUAUAGGUGCAUUUCCUGGGAUUCACAACCUUAUUUCAUUAAAUUCAAUGCAGAACUGAAUACCUAAAUAGUGGAAAGGUGGAAUAUAAGCCUUUAUUUACACAAAGCAAGAGUGGGUGUUUGAGUGCUGUUUACAAUUAAGGCAAAGUUAAUCUAUGUUAUAUUAUACAAGUAGGCAGUACUUAUAUUAAGGGGGGGAAAUUGCCAGAUUUACUCCACCGUUAUUUGGAAGAAUCCCAACAACCAGCAGGUGCUGGGGUCUACCAGAAACUAACAACAAGCUACCUUCUGCCAACGUUUGGUUGCUGCUGAACCUAUUUUUUGCCCACCUUGUCAUCAGAAUGUAUGACUGAUACCUGGAGGGUUUAAAAUGAAUUUAUGUUAGCUCAACAAAAUUGACGGAGGGGAUUUCAAUCAUAUAUAUAAGAAUUGUUGAGAAUACUUAUUUUUCUUUUUAGAGGCUGGUGUGCUUUUUAAUGUUAUCAUGCUAUUUGUGUGUUUUGCAUGUUUUAGAUUUGUUCUAUGGCUCAUAGAGACUGUCAGUAUUAGACAACUAACAAAUUAAUAAAGAAUAAUAAUGAGCCACCCUAGAGGUAGAUAAGUUAACAUUUCUAUGACUUGUAAGACAAAUUGCAGACUGAAAAUGUUAUCCCUGUGCCCAUUUUCCUGUGCCACUUAAUUCCAAUUAGCAGGCUGCUUAGUCACGAAAGUGUUCCAGUGUUAGAAUUAAAGGGGUGGCUUCAGGUCAAGAAGAGUGUAAGUUGGCAGAGAUACAGAGAUAUUCAGAUGAAGCAGGUACUCAGUGUGCCAGUACUAUGGCUGGCUGUAGUUAAUGCUUCCUAUCAGCUCAUUUUCAUUGUUACCUUUUUAAAAAUCCAGAUUCUCUUUAAUCUGUUUUUUUUUCCUUAUUUUGAAUAUGUCUCGUUUUCUCUGUCUUUUCCUCUGUCUUCUGAAAACUCAUUUCUGGACCAGUUUUCAUUAGUAUAUAUAUAUUUGUACUAAACAUUUAUAGCCCAUUAUAAAAGAACAGUGAGGCGUACAACAAUUAAUACACAUAAAAAGAUUGAAGACAAUGCAUAAUAAAAUGAAAUUCACAAUUUAUUAUGUCAAGGUCAAAUAACAUUUUACUUCAUCAGGAUAUUAAAAAUGUUUUAGCUUGACUCCAAAAAGCAAGCAAUGGAAGCUUCUAUAACAAGAGAGCUCCACAGAACUUGAACUGCGUUGUCUACACUUCAUUUAUGUUGUCUUUCACCUGUAGAAAGCCCAAAAGAGCAAAAGUUUUAGGAUGAAUAUGUAAUGGCAUUACCAUGACAGUAGCAGGGCUAUCAGAAGGAGCCAUAGCACCAUUAUAAGAAUAAAUAGGAAUGAAGGUGCUGAGCUAAGUACAGUUCUGUACAGUGGUACCUCAGGUUACAUACGCUUCAGGUUACAGACUCCGUUAACCCAGAAAUAUUGCUUCAGGUUAAGAACUUUGCUUCAGGAUGAGAGCAGAAAUUGUGCUCCGGCAGCGCAGCAGCAGCAGGAGGCCCCAUUAGCUAAAGUGGUGCUUCAGGUUAAGAACAGUCUCAGGUUAGGUACGGACCUCUGGAACGAAUUAAGUAUUUAACCCGAGGUACCACUAUAUUCACUUAUUAAAGCUCAGGAUGUUGACUGAUUCCCCCCCUCCCCCAUGCUUGGUGGCUGCUUACUCAUAGCUUGUUUUGCAUCAAAUGCCCUCCAGCAACAUUCUUCUUCAAGUCUCUUAUUAGAUUUCCUUACCAUCCCUUCCCUUUUGCUUCUCCCUUUCAUUUUGUCAUUUCUUUAUUCUUUCUGCACUUUUACUCCUAUGUACACCAAACAUUUGAAAGUGAAAGUGGUCCCAACACACAUUCUCUGCAUUUUAGUGAUUUGUGUUCAAACCUCUCUUCCAACAUUUAAAAUCAUAUGUUUGUCUUCACCUGUAUUUUAUAUUCACCUGACAGACACAACAAACUAAUAAAGCAGAAAAAGACAGUAAUAAUAAACCAAAUUUGGGAGCUAAUUUGUUGGUCCUUUUGCGUGCUCUCUCUCACACACACACACAUUCACAGCUGAAUUAAAAAUAAAGGGUAAAGGGACCCCUCUCCGUUAGGUCCAGUCGCGGAAGACUCUGGGGUUGCGGCGCUCAUCUCGCUUUACUGGCCGAGGGAGCCGGCGUACAGCUUCCGGGUCAUGUGGCCAGCAUGACAAAGCCACUUCUGGCGAACCAGGGCAGUGCACGGAAACGCUGUUUACCUUCCCGCCGAAGCGGUCCCUAUUUAUCUACUUGCACUUUGACAUGCUUUCGAACUGCUAGGUUGACAGGAGCUGGGACCGAGCAACCCUGUCGCAGGGAUUCGAACCACUGACCUUCUGAUCAGCAAGCCCUAGGCUCUGUGGUUUACACCACAGCGCCAAAUUGAUAUAAAAUAGUGGUUAAUGGGAAUGUUAACAAUCCCAUUCAUUAUAUAGUUAUUUCAUUAAGUUUAUACAUUGCUUUGUUGUAAAACAAAAAAUACCACAAUAAACACCCUCAGUUUACAAAAAAGAUUCAUUAGUAAUAGUAGCAAAUACUGAUAAAGAUACUCAGUGUUCAAGCAAAAGUCUGUGAUUUUCUUCUUAGGGAUUUUCUUAAUCCAUCAGAUGAAGGGCAUGUUGAGAUAAUUAUAAAGCAGUAUGAUGACCUUAAUUGAUUUAAGAACUAUGUUUACAUCUUUGCAAAAUUUUGGCACCAAUACCAUAUGCUUUCUGUUCCAAUGAAGGUAAUAUCUACCUUAAUUAGUAUAUCAUGCAAAAUGUUUCUCAUUUGAUGGAUUUGCAUCUUUUGUUGACACAAAAGGAACCUAUCACUCACUACCUGAAGGCUAACUACAUUUUAAAUGGCAUAUGUGUCUGCUAGGUUUACACAGAUAACUGGUUGACACUUCUAGUCUACAUAGCAAUCGGCAUUUCCGUGCACUCUGACUUCCGUCACAGUGUUCCACUGCGCCAGAAGCGGUUUAGUCAUGCUGGCCACAUGACCUGGAAAGCUGUCUGUGGACAAACACCAGCUCCCCUGGCCUGAAGCGUGAUAAGCACUGCACCCCAGAGUCAGUCGCCUUUGACUGGAUUUAACUGUCCAGGGGUCCUUUACCUUUACCUUUACCUUACAAAGCAAUAAAUAUGAACUUGAUAUAUUCAGUUAGAAAAGUAAGAACUGGUCAGAAAUAUAGAUGCUAGUCAUAAUCCUGGCUUGGAUUAGCUAGACUGAGAGCCUGUGGAGCAGUUCCUGCUGGAGCAUGAAUCAUCUCACUCCAGAGACCUGGUAGAAAGCAACAGAUGUAAGAUCUCAGAAGUCAGAAUUCAAACAGCAGGUUGAGGUUGAGUCUUUCAGGACCUGGGAGAGCUCCCAGCAAAUUUAGCAACCAAGACAGGUUGCUUAGACAAUAAUCUGAAUUUAACUGAGAGCAAAGGCUACUGAGGCAGAUGUCAGGCCUGCAGGAUCCAUUUUGUUUUUUUACUAGAUCCUAAGGACCACCAACUAGAGCCAGGUGCAAAAUCAUAUCUCAGGAUGUAGAUAUACACAGAAGUUAGGAACAGGCUGCUUCUGAGCACAGACUUAGCCCAAUAAUUUGCUUUAAGUCCCGGGUUGGAGCUCAGUUUUCUCAUGUUAGCUCCUGACUCAUACCCACUAUCUUUCUUUAUUUCAGCAGUCUUAUUUUGGAGAGUGAGAGCCUUUUGCUAAACAAUUAGUACUUCGAGACCCUUUCUGGUGUACUCCACAUCACUCUGAGAUCUACCAAUUCCUAAUGUACCUUCAGGCUACGCCUGCCUCUGUAAAAAGCUGGUAAGAAUGCUAAAGGUCAGAACCCUACUUUAGAGACAUGUGCCUGCUGUGCUUGGCUUAGAGCUGUAUAUGGCUCCCCAUAUUGGCCAUUGGUCUGAUCAAGCAAGUUCUUCUUAUGUUCUUAUGCACUGUCUCCUUUUGUGGCCUCUAGGUGUUUUUUCUCCCUCUUCUCUGCAUUUCUAUGGGAGUGAAGGCCACCUGGCACUUACUGUGGUUGUGGGACUGCUUAAGGUUAUACUUAACUUUAGUAAUUUGAACCCCUGGCCUCAAAGGCACAGCCUGAUAUCAAAUCCUCUUCUGUGUGGUGUGUGCUGUCCCUCAGACUGUCAUAUGUGAGCCCUAAGUCAGAGCCCUGUUGACCUGCAUUUGGAGAGGACACCUUAGUGUCAAAAUCACUGUCCAAGGGGACCGGGCACUGGGAUAUUAAAAGUAUCAUUGGAAAUUACAUCAUUUCAAUGAGCUGAAAAUACCAUCUGACUUUGAUUUCUUUGUACAUAAAUCACAGAAAGAGGGAAGAUAUUACUGAUUGUUCCCACUCCUAUAAAGGUAAACUGAAAUAAUAGUUUGAUACAUUGAUUUUUUUAUUCAAGAAUCCUCUUUUAAACAACUGGACAUACUAGCUUGUUCAAUAAAAAUCUGGAUACCAUUUAAGAUUCAAAAGUUGUUUUAGCAUGCUCAAAAUCAGCACAUCAUGGCUAUUCAUUACUAUUCCAAAAUGAUCCUCACUGAAACUCAGCACAGAAUUCAGUUACAUUGAACACACAUUUCAUUCAUCUGCUUCCAUUUUAUAAACUGAGAAACUUCAUCCACAUAUUGAAUUUAUUGUAUCCAUCAUACAUGCAGUGCAGUAUCAUAAUGCUGAGUGCAAAAAUGAAAUGAGUGGGUGGAUGAACCUAUAGGAUUCAGUUACAUAAGUUUAAAAGGGAAAGCAGUUAAAAAAGAGGGCUGGUGAGGGGUACUCUUGAGAGAGACUUUGUGUCCUCCGCCCCCAUGAACAGAAUAUCUUGUAAUAUAUGAGUGGUGGUGUGAGUAUUGUCCUAAUAUUGGAGAAAAGAUAUAAAGCAAGCCAAAAAGAGAGAAGCCCCAUGCACAUGAUCCCAUACCAUCAAUGAAAAGGGAACAGUAACAGUCGUGUACACACUUCCAUAGAAGUCAGCUGCAGUGGCAGUUAAAUAAGCAAAGGGAAAGGGCACAAGCCUCUCACAACAUCUGUCCUUCUGUUUUCCAUAAGUAUUAUUGCAGCCUUCUGCUUUGCUUCAGAAGUGAAUAAGGAAUGUUAACUGAAAUUAAAUUCAAUAAAGAUUUCUUUUCUAAGAGAAAGAAAUAGUGUCUCCUAUUUGCCUCUCUUCAGUCUUACAAAAGUCCCCAUAAUUGAUAUGGGGUUAAAUGAGCAGAACUUGCUAAAGCACUACCCUUUAUUCCUGAAUACAUCUAUAGCACCUUGGAUUCAGGGUAUGCUUUGCUAUUUUCAUCCCUUGAGCCAAAGACCAGCUACACGAUGGUCUCAGGGUUGAAGGAGGGUAAGAAAGCACCCAUACCCUCAAAUCCAUGCUGAGGCCAACUUCCCCGUGUUCCCUUACCCAAUGGGUGAGAAAUACAUGAAGGAAAAGGAGGGGGAAAAUAUAAACUGUCUGAACUCCCUCACCUCUAUGGAUUUCUCAGAACACCUUCUUUGUAGGGCUAAAUGAAUUGGCUUUCUUAAUCCCAUUAUCCUGAUCUUUUUGCACAAUUCUUUAUACAUGAUUUUUAAAAAAUAAAUAUUUUAGUCUCAUUUCUUUUGUACCAUUAGAUAUAUGUGGCAGAGCCUUGAAUCUGUACCCAUUGUACCUAAAACUGCCUCCCCAAUAUUGUUAAGCACUCCUCAUUUAGUUAAGUUGGAUCCAUCUUUAAAUAGCAGUCUCAACAGAAGAAGAAAUAUUAAAUUUAAUAAAUAAAUAAAUAAAUAAAUGCUUGUGUCUUCAUUUUGUGUUUUUGUGUUGUAAACCGCCCUCUGAUCACGUAAUUAAGGACAGUAUAUAGAUUUAAUAAAUACAUAAUAUAAAAACAAACAAACAAAGAUAGUUUCACUGAGAAUUAUUUUAUCAAAGGUCAACAGGUGUGAAAUGAAUUUGCUGUUAACUGUUGUGGCAAAACUUGCUUUUAAGAUAUGAUUAUUUACCCUUCCAAAAGCUCACAGAGGAGUCAUCAGUCUAAUGGUACAUGGGCAUAAUUUAGGCAUUAAGAUUUAUGACAGAAUUGGAUUAACAAAUGUGUAUUGAUUUCUUUAAAGAAGUUUUAUUUCCAUAGCUCUUUGAAACCCCUGAUGUUUGAGAGCUUGCCCUUUUAUAAAAAAGGUUUUAAAAACUAAUUUCAUCUGCUGAAUUCCUGAUAAGGAACUCCUACACUACAAUAGUUGCCCGGAAACGGAAAAAUCAUUUCCACUCUUUCUGUUCCUUUCUGUUCUGUGUUAUUUUCAAGGAUGCAACUAGAGUGGCAUUAACAAUUGUGUUCACAAAUGAGAAUAGAUUAUUUUCAGUGAGUACUGUUUUCUGUCACUUCAAAAGUGCUCGUGUUUGGGAACUUGCCCUUUUAAAAUAUAUUUCUUUAUACUUAAAAAAAUCCAUAAGAUGAUCCUUUUCACUAAAUAACAUUUCCUAUGUUUUAUUAUUGAGCACAGCUGAAACCAAAGCUCUCCCAAUAUUUAAGUUAUAUUUAUAUACAGUUCCCAAAAGUUCAUUGUGUACACUUGAAACUGAGAAAUUCUCACGACUGUUGAACGCAGUACAGAAGUUGUAGGAGGAAGGAUAUUGUCGUAGCUCUAUAGGAGAGUGAAUGGUGCUUAAAAGUAAAGGCUUCCCAUUGGGCUCCAUUUCCAUCUCAUUUCAACUCUAUUUCAGCAUGAAAAGGAAAAAUAUCAAAACCUUGGGUGGUGGGAAUACUGUGGGUGAGUGUCCCACUGAGCACAUAACAGAGAUGCAGAAACUUUGCAUGUUUUCUAGGGGCAUUUUUCCAUUAACAAGCACAUUCCAUCUUUUCCCCCCCGAACAGUGGUGGCCAAAACAGCAAUCAAGUAAUUAUUACACCUGCAGAAUUUUUGGUAAGAAACACCUUAGCCACACAAUUUUCCAGAAAACAGUUCUGUUCAUUGAUGUUCUUGUGCUUGCUUUGUUUUAUUUCAAGCAUCCUGUUCUUAAGGGUGAAGUUAGCAGUAAUUAGUUUAAAACCACCGAGUCUCACAUGAUCAUAUCAAACAUUAUUAUUUGUAAAAUCACCACAUCUUUUUAACUGAUUUGAAGAUGUAACUGGAAAUCACAUUAAUUAUCUAGACUGUACUUUGGAUAAUGAGAAUGCCUACAUCAUAAUUUCAUCAAACUAAAUAUAUUUUGGGAGCUGUUGUUAUAUCAACAACUUUGUAAGAAUAUCGACAGUGAAUAUUUUGUUGGUCAUUCUACCUUAUUUAUCUAUAAAAGUGUGGAAGGAAACCAAAUGAGCUGGAUUAUUUCAAGGUCCACCAAUCCAGCACCCUAUUUCCAACAGUGGCAAAGACUCUGGAACACCCAGCGAGAUAGCAUGCUGAGAAAACCCUCUCCUGACAUUUGCCUGUUUGUGACGACUAUUCAGAGAUACACUGUUUUAAAACAUGAGGUUUCCAUUUAGGCACCAUUAUUAAUACAUGCUCUUAGAAGUAUCCCUUUGGAUUUUUUCUUAUCUUUUUCAAAACCAUCUCAGGCGGUUACCAUCACCUCAUCUUGUAGUAGCAAAUUCUGUAAGUGAAUUAUGUAUAGUAUAAAGAACUGCCAUCUAUUAAUAAUAAUAAUAAUAAUAAUAAUAAUUUUUUAUUUAUACCCCGCCCUCCCCAGCCAAGGCCGGGCUCAGAGCGGCUUACAAGCAAUAAUAAAAACAAGUUGAAUGAUUACAACUUAAAAACAAAAUUAAAAUACAACAUUAAAAUAUUACAACAUU